Molecule: long non-coding RNA, 592 nt
Filed under: Elaeis guineensis (African oil palm)
Lineage: Eukaryota; Viridiplantae; Streptophyta; Magnoliopsida; Arecales; Arecaceae
Description: long non-coding RNA (EGUI_LNC045038)
Source: RNAcentral
CUGUCACUAAAUUAAAAACUCAGUUAGUCCAGCAUCAAAGUACAGUGAGUUGCUUGUAAGUCAAUAUGAUGAUCUCAAGUCGGAGGGACACUUAUACCCAUACCCUUCGUGAGCUAUCCUUGAUAGCAGAGUGCUCUGCAGUUGGUCACGUUCAAUGAUGAUGUACCCCUACAUCUCACUUACAUGCCAUACCAAUAUCUCCAUACUAUUUGGUUAUAAGGACAACCAACGUAUAUGGCACACAAUGACCUAUGCUUAUAACGCUAUUGUCCUAGUAACAGCGUAUCGUUUUGUCAGAACCAAUUUAAGGACUAUGCGAUAAAUUCUUCUUUAUCGAUCAAAGUAGUCCUAAGGACUUCGUCACAAUAUAGAAGUUCGUUAGAAGAUGUAUCCUUAUGAUGAAAAAUACCAAAUAAUUUUUAUUAUGUAUCAAUUCAUAUACAUUUAUAAUUAGCACAAUCAUCAAAUAAUUUGCUUUAGGACAUAAUUCUCAAUACUAUUCUGUCUGGUAGUGAGAUAUACCAUGAUCUCCAUCACAAUAUCAUCAAAACUUCUUUCGAAGGACUGGAACGAUUCCAACUCAAUCCAACAA